GCUCCUAAAGGAUAUUAGUUCGUCCGUUGGUCUUAGGAACCAAUAUAUCUUGGUGCAAGUCCAAGUAGUAGCU
This 73-nucleotide transfer RNA is filed under the name Pseudanthias pascalus (amethyst anthias). RNAcentral's name for it is "tRNA-Leu". It matches the Rfam family "tRNA". Rfam says of the family: Transfer RNA (tRNA) molecules are approximately 80 nucleotides in length. Their secondary structure includes four short double-helical elements and three loops (D, anti-codon, and T loops). Lineage: Eukaryota; Metazoa; Chordata; Actinopteri; Perciformes; Anthiadidae. The record is from RNAcentral. RNAcentral also lists the same sequence under 1 other name.